RNAcentral lists this long non-coding RNA (278 nucleotides) under Pan troglodytes (chimpanzee). RNAcentral describes it as "long non-coding RNA NONPTRT001227". The record is from RNAcentral. Lineage: Eukaryota; Metazoa; Chordata; Mammalia; Primates; Hominidae.
UUUGAAUAUAUUACUGCCCACAUAAGGUGUUCUUUUGUUUGUUUGUUUUCCCAUUACAAGUGUGAGCCACCGCGCCCGGCUUUUUUUUUUUUUUUUGAGACGGAGUCUCGCUCUGUCGCCCAGGCUGGAGCACAGUGGCGCGAUCUCGGCUCACUCCAAGCUCCGACUCCCGGGUUCACACCAUUCUCCUGCCUCAGCCUCCCGAGUAGCUGGGACUACAGGCGCCCGCCACCACGCCUGGCUAAUUUUUUUUAUUUUUAUUUUUAGUAGAGACGGGG